This 299-nucleotide ribosomal RNA is filed under the name uncultured Planctomycetota bacterium. RNAcentral describes it as "uncultured planctomycete partial 16S ribosomal RNA". It matches the Rfam family "Bacterial small subunit ribosomal RNA", at positions 29 to 351 of the family's 1533-position model. The record is from RNAcentral. Lineage: Bacteria; Pseudomonadati; Planctomycetota.
AACGAACGUUGGCGGCAUGGAUUAGGCAUGCAAGUCGCGGGAAUCCCAGCAAUGGGGGAACCGGCGUAAGGGGCAGUAAGGCAUGGGUACCUACCCUGGGGUUCGGGAUAGCCUUCAGAAAUGGAGGGUAAUACCGGAUGACGUCGUGAGACCAAAGGUCCGCCGCCCUGGGAGGGGCCCAUGUGAUAUUAGCUAGUUGGUGAGGUAACGGCUCACCAAGGCAAAGAUGUCUAGCGGGUGUGAGAGCACGACCCGCGCCACUCGCACUGAGACACUGGCGAGACACCUACGGGUGGCAG